UCAAGGAGUACAAUAUCAGCCGUCACUUUGCCACAAAGCAUGCUAACUACGCUAGCAAGCAAUCAACACAAGAACGCGCGGCUACUGCUCAGAGGUUGGUAGCUAAUUUAAAGACUCAGCAGAAUGUUUUUCACCGACAAACUGCGAUUCAAGAGUCAAGUACCAAGGCAAGWUUUUUGCUGGCAAGCCUUUCUCCGAAGGUGAGUUUUUGAAAGAAUGCAUGUUGGAGACAGCAGAUCUCUUGUGUCCGACGUGAUAAUGUUACAAAUAUCUUUAAAAUUUCCUCUWCGGYCAUAUUUUUGUCCGUUUUCUCGUCAAUAYGCGAGAGCUUAGAGCGACACURCAGCUACAGUGGACACUGCAGCUACMGUGGACAUGGUAGGUUUUCUCUUCCUAAUAUUAACUCUGAUUUAAAUAUCCUGAACAAACUUGAGAACAAGCUGUUAAUUUCAAUGUUGUGGCAAACUUGCAGUCUCUAGAUAAGGAUCCAGAAAAGAUCCCAGAGCCUUUCCACGAAGAUCUGCAGGAGAUAAAGAAGGAGAUGGAAAAAAAAAAAUUGGUUACCUUCUGCCACCAGCGGAUCUUUGGCCAAACUUUGCUCUGGAGUCUCAAGGUGCAAAACUUGUGCACCAUUUGACUUCAGCAACAUUUCACARCAACAGAACAUGUAGAUUGUUUGGGAUAUAUUUUCAACAACCCACAGGCCCAAGCAUAGCCAUUCAGCAUGUGGUGCUGUUGCUACAGAGAGGUCUACAAUUACCGGAAGUAGAAAAAACCUCUUGUUGAUGUACUGUGGCGCUAACUGGUAAAACGGAAGAGAAGGAAAUUUUUUGAUCUGAGACCUGGUGGAGAAGACGACUCUAUGGCCACAUGAGAGAAGAAUCCAAGUGUUCGAGGUGCCACUGCCGUUUGUUUAGCCGUUUGUUUUACUGCUAUAGUUUUAGUUAGUAUGUUUUAUUUUGUAUUAGGCACAUUUUUUGGUAUUGUGACUUUUAUUUUGAAAAUCUAAGUAGGAAGUGCAUUCCAGAAUGUUCGCUGGGGCACCAGAAAAAGGAAAGAAGCACGUGAUGUAGCAUGAUGAUAGCAAGUGGUUCCAAUUAAUUUAAGUUUAAGAAUUCCUUUUUGUUUUCGCUCUCAUUUCUACAUCACAAGAAACGGUCAGCCAGUGAGUUCGACGGUGGUGUUGUGUCAGUGGCACAAAAGUUAUAAGAAGACUUGUAUUAAAGAUGACUAAACACCGGCAGUAGCGAGCUCUUUCUUGACAAAGAAGAGGUGGAAGUGAUAGUUUGUUUAGCCGUUUUAUGCUGUUAGAUUUCAGCGCUGCGUUAUACUCUGAGCGCUAACCGCAUUGUUAGCCCGCCAUUUCACCGAAGCUAAGGCUUUCUACUGUUCGAAAUACGGGACAUUUAUUUCUCCAUAUAUUGAAUUUCAUUCUUUUUAUUUUGUUUCAACAUUGUCUUUUUGAGAAUAAAGAACCCCUUCUGUGUGAAGCUCCGUGUGCUGUAUUAAUCCCGGCUUCACAUAUUGGUACAAUGAGUGGGGUCUCGUUCUUACAUUUUUUUUUCUCUCUGUGAGGACAUGUAUAUGGCGGUGCAGCGUUAGCAUUAAACGGCAGUGGUGAAGAAGUGGCCUACACCAGAGUGGACAUGGGUAUCGUAUCUGUGUGGCGGCAUCUGUUUCGAGAUCAGAGGAGGACGUUGCUGAACAGUUUGUGCUGGCGUGGUUGAGAGGGAUUUCAGCCGAGGUGAUCGUCAGACCAGAACGCAUUCCAGGCGGGAGAAAGCAUCGCCCAUCAGCGGUCUUGGAGCAGCCUAGGAGCAUCCAGUGGACUCGGGAUUUCAACCAAUUUAUCCUUUGCUAUAUACAUUUCUAUUGACUGUUAAGUGAACUUAAAAACAACAAAAACAAAACACAGAACAUGUCUGACCAAGGUGAAAACUUUGAGAUGGAUGAAGAACAGUUGGUAGUGAAUGAUACAGAGGAUAAUGAACAGGAUGGUGGACAGAACCUUGAACAAAAGGACAUUGAACAAGCUGGGGUAUUGCAACAACUAAGUUAGUUAGCCAGAAGACAAGAAGUAGGUACCGGCAACCAAUUUUUUUUCUUUAUGUUUUUUGUACUCUGAAUGUAUUUUUCUAUUACGUGUAUUACCAGAAUUAGAGCAGCCCAUUAUCUCUAACGGUUUCCGAGAUUUUGGGGGGGUAUGUGUACCUUGCCACAAAUCCACCUUUGAGUAGAAAAAGAUGGGAUUUUUGAAAGCCGAUUACUUAAAUAAUAAAAUAAAUUUGACAUUU
Poecilia reticulata (guppy) is the source of this 2294-nucleotide non-coding RNA. The record is from RefSeq and is a predicted model, not a curated record. Lineage: Eukaryota; Metazoa; Chordata; Actinopteri; Cyprinodontiformes; Poeciliidae.